AGUGAACGCUGGCGGUAGGCCUAACACAUGCAAGUCGAACGGCAGCACAGUAAGAGCUUGCUCUUACGGGUGGCGAGUGGCGGACGGGUGAGGAAUACAUCGGAAUCUACUUUUUCGUGGGCGAUAACGUAGGGAAACUUACGCUAAUACCGCAUACGACCUACGGGUGAAAGCAGGGGAUCUUCGGACCUUGCGCGAUUGAAUGAGCCGAUGUCGGAUUAGCUAGUUGGCGGGGUAAAGGCCCACCAAGGCGACGAUCCGUAGCUGGUCUGAGAGGAUGAUCAGCCAAACUGGAACUGAGAAAGGGGCCAGACCCCUACGGGAGGCAGCAGUGGGGAAUAUUGGACAAGGGGGGCAAGCCUGAUCCAGCCAUACCGGGUGGGUGAAGAAGGCCUUCGGGUUGUAAAGCCCUUUUGUUGGGAAAAAAAAGCAGCAGGUUAAUACCCCGCUGUUCUGACGGUACCCAAAGAAUAAGCACCGGCUAACUUCGU
This 491-nucleotide ribosomal RNA is filed under the name uncultured bacterium. Its description in RNAcentral is "partial 16S ribosomal RNA". It matches the Rfam family "Bacterial small subunit ribosomal RNA", at positions 29 to 506 of the family's 1533-position model. The record is from RNAcentral.